This 734-nucleotide long non-coding RNA is filed under the name Anas platyrhynchos platyrhynchos (common mallard). Its description in RNAcentral is "lncRNA (ENSAPLG00000031121.1)". Lineage: Eukaryota; Metazoa; Chordata; Aves; Anseriformes; Anatidae. The record is from RNAcentral.
CAGGCACUGGAAGAGUCUGCAGUGACAGAAAUGCUUCUGAAUGCAUAACAUGAACUAUACACAAUGCCUUGAAUUACACUAUUGUGGAACUAGGAUGGCACCAGAUGGAUGGUGAAGUGGUGGAAUUCCCUGCAAGACCCUGAUGCCUGCUGGCUGGCAUGAGAAGGACCUACACAUCUGGGAAAUGGAGUUCCAGGUUCAAUUGCUCUCCACUUUAAAGGAUGGCUGUAUUUCUAAGUGCCUUCCAGGGACUUUUGUGAACAGGAACAGUACAUUGUCCCUCCAGGAUGGAGGGAGUUGUGUUCCUGCCCUGUGACCAUCUCCAAGCCACGUGGCCAGAGAUUAAAAACUACAUGUGCAAGACUAUGGAUGCAUCUAUAAAGAAACAGGAAAAACAAGACCCAUAUGCACAUUCAGAGCAUGAGAAAGGCCCAAGAUGCCUUAACUUCCUACAUGAUCUUAAUUUUCACAAAAAUGUCUCAUUUUGUUCCAAAAACACCCAUUUCAAUAUGAACGCAAAUAAUUCAACUGCCCUUCUGCUGUAGAUUGAAUUGGCUUAAAAGAUAUGUUGCCUUUUGCAUGGACAUAGCUGAGACUGUGCUUCAGUUCUCUGGCUAUUUUUACACUGCCUGUCCUUCAGAAAAGAAGAUCUGACACAGCACAGAAUAUAUAAAAAAGAAGGGUAACAUAGGAUCCAAGUGUAUUAAAUAAAUAAAUACUCUUUGUAGGAGACA